Mycena leptocephala is the source of this 118-nucleotide non-coding RNA. NCBI's taxonomy places the organism in Eukaryota, Fungi, Basidiomycota, Agaricomycetes, Agaricales, Mycenaceae. The record is from the annotation of a GenBank genome assembly.
GACACUUUGGCCGAGUGGUUAAGGCGAUGCCCUGCUAUAAAAGGAAAUUUUCACUGAUCUCCUGAUAUUACGUAGGCAUUGGGGUUUCCCCGCGUGUGUUCGAAUCGCACAGGUGUCG